This 257-nucleotide ribosomal RNA is filed under the name uncultured bacterium. Its description in RNAcentral is "partial 16S ribosomal RNA". It matches the Rfam family "Bacterial small subunit ribosomal RNA", at positions 524 to 776 of the family's 1533-position model. The record is from RNAcentral.
UACGUAGGGUGCGAGCGUUUAAUCGGAAUUACUGGGCGUAAAGCGUGCGCAGGCGGUUUUCCAAGACAGAUGUGAAAUCCCCGGGCUCAACCUGGGAAUGGCAUUUGUGACUGGAAGGCUAGAGUGUGUCAGAGGGGGGGUAGAAUUCCACGGUGUAGCAGUGAAAUGCGUAGAGAUGUGGAGGAAUACCGAUGGCGAAGGCAGCCCCCUGGGACUACACUGACGCUCAUGGCACGAAAGCGUGGGGAGCAAACAGG